Molecule: ribosomal RNA, 860 nt
Filed under: uncultured bacterium
Lineage: Bacteria
Description: bacterial SSU rRNA
Rfam family: Bacterial small subunit ribosomal RNA
Source: RNAcentral
CGUGGCGAACGGGUGCGUAACACGUGGAUAACCUUCCUUCAGGUGGGGAAUAACCCAGCGAAAGUUGGGCUAAUACCGCAUAACAUUACGAGGGCACAUGCUCUUGUACUCAAAGCCGCAAGGCGCCAGAAGAGGGAUCCGCGGCCGAUUAGCUAGUUGGCGAGGUAAUGGCUCACCAAGGCAAUGAUCGGUAGCCGGUCUGAGAGGAUGAUCGGCCACACUGGAACUGAGACACGGUCCAGACUCCUACGGGAGGCAGCAGUGGGGAAUCUUGCGCAAUGGGCGAAAGCCUGACGCAGCAACGCCGCGUGGGGGAUGAAGCUUCUCGGAGUGUAAACCCCUUUCGACCCGGACGAAUGUUCGCCUCAGGCGAAUUUGACGGUACGGGUAUAAGAAGCCCCGGCUAACUACGUGCCAGCAGCCGCGGUAAUACGUAGGGGGCCAGCGUUGCUCGGAAUUACUGGGCGUAAAGGGUCCGUAGGCGGUGUGGUAAGUCGGGAGUGAAAUCUCUGGGCUUAACUCAGAGGCUGCUUUCGAAACUGCCGUGCUAGAGUGUGAGAUAGGCGAGUGGAAUUGCGGGUGUAGCGGUGAAAUGCGUAGAUAUCCGCAGGAACAUCCGAGGCGAAAGCGGCUCGCUGGAUCACAACUGACGCUGAGGGACGAAAGCUAGGGGAGCAAACAGGAUUAGAUACCCUGGUAGUCCUAGCCCUAAACCAUCAGGACUUGGGGUUUGCCCUGUACGGGGCAAGUCCCGUAGCUAACGCGUUAAGUCCUGCGCCUGGGGAGUACGGUCGCAAGACUGAAACUCAAAGGAAUUGACGGGGGCCCGCACAAGCGGUGGAACAUGUGGUUCAAUUCGA